CCCUCCAACCAAUGCCCAAUCACCACCACAAACCCACCAAUCAUCAACUAAACCAAAACAUUUGACAAGAGUAGUAUAAGAGAUAGAACCUCAACUUGGCGCACAGCAGUACCGCAAGGGAAACAAGAAAGAAAAAUUAAAAAUUAAAACAAAAAAAGCAGAGAUUAAACCCCAUACCUCUUGCAUCAUGGUUUAACAAGUCAACAAUGGACAAAACGUACUUACGCACAGCCCAUUACCCCGAAAUCAAGUGAGCUACCUAUAACCAACUUAUAAGAGUCAACCCGUCACUGUAGCAAAAGUGUGGGAUGAGUUAGAGGUAGAAGUGAAAAGCCUAACGAACUUGACGAUAGCUGGUUAUCCAACCAAAUGAACCUUAGUUCAAUUUUAGGUUUACUACAUCAACUACUUGACCAUAAUUAACCUAAAAGAUAAUCAAUGAGGGCACAGCCUCAUUGAUAAAGGAAACAACCCCAAUUAGAGAUUAACCACACCAGUUAUACUUACCCGUAGGCCUUUAAGCAGCCAACAAAAACAAAAUGCGUUACAGCAACAACACCCCAAAUACCACAACAUAUUAAUAACUCCUAUUUAAUUACUGGAUAAAUCUAUUCUUAUAGAAGUACCCAUGUUAAAACUAGUAAUAAGAAAAUUUCUCUCCCGCACAAGAAAACAUUAACAGACAUAAUAUAUUGAACUAAAUUAAACACAAGAAAAACAUAUCUACCAACACUGUUAAUCCAACUCAGGAGUGCAUAAAGAAAGAUUAAAAGUUAUAAAAGGAACUCGGCAAACUAAAAGUCCCAACUGUUUACCAAAAACAUAGCCUUUAGCCCAACAAGUAUUAAAGGUAAUGCCUGCCCAGUGAUUCUUUCAACGGCCGCGGGAUCUUAUACCGUGCAAAGGUAGCAUAAUCACUUGUCAUCUAAAUAAUGACUAGUAUGAAUGGCCCUAUGAGGACUUCCCUGUCUCUUAUAAUCAAUCAAUGAAACUGAUCUCCCAGUACAAAAGCUGGAAUAAUAACACAAGACGAAAAGACCCUGUGGAACUUCUAAGUGCUAAUUAACAACAUAAUACAACCACUUUUAGUUGGGGCAACUUUGGAAUAAAAUAAAACUUCCAAUUAAAGUAACACCACUUUAACUAAAAACCAGGUCCACACACCGACCUUUUAACUUACACCGACCCAGUAUUACUGAUAAAAGAAACAAGCUACCCCAGGGAUAACAGCGCCAUCCCCUCUUAGAGUCCAAAUCGACGAGCGGGGCUUACGACCUCGAUGUUGGAUCAGGGCCCCCAAACAGUGCAGCAGCUGUUAAAGGUUUGUUUGUUCAACAAUUAAUGCCCUACGUGAUCUGAGUUAAGACCGGAGUAAUCCAGGUCGGUUUCUAUCUGUGCAAAGUUUUUUCUAGUACGAAAGGACCGAAAAAACCAAGUCAAUGCUUAAAACACACUUGCCAACAAUAAGCUGACACACCUAAAACUUUAAAUAGGCUAAAACACACAGCCCAACACAAGGGCCUU
RNAcentral lists this ribosomal RNA (1524 nucleotides) under Aspidoscelis tesselatus (common checkered whiptail). RNAcentral describes it as "16S ribosomal RNA". It matches the Rfam family "Bacterial large subunit ribosomal RNA", at positions 435 to 2838 of the family's 2925-position model. The record is from RNAcentral. Lineage: Eukaryota; Metazoa; Chordata; Lepidosauria; Squamata; Teiidae.